Molecule: ribosomal RNA, 2682 nt
Filed under: groundwater metagenome
Description: bacterial LSU rRNA
Rfam family: Bacterial large subunit ribosomal RNA (bases 307-2682)
Source: RNAcentral
CGGCAAACGCAUCUGAACUCGAACGGCGCGCGCGGACGAGACUGCGAACAAAAACGCGCGGCCUGGUGCAACGUGGAGCGGCCUUUCGGCAAUGACAUUUUCGGUUUUGCCGUGUUCGAUCACCCGACGAAUCCCAACCACCCAUCGGGCUGGCGAGUGGACGAGCAGGGACUCAUCAACCCGAACGUUUCGAUGCUCGGCGAUUGGUCCCUGCCCGCCGGCAAGGAACAAGUCUUCCACUACCGCAUUCUCGUUUACAAAGGACCGGCCUCCGCGGAAACGCUGAACCGGCCGUUCCAAGCCUUUGCGCGAGUUUCUUUCGGCGCGGCAAUGGCGCCGCGCCGAAAGCUUGCCGAUUAGAAAUCGGCGACGAGCUUUGGGUUCGGGCUGCGCCGGUCGGCGAAAUAUUCGGGCUGGCCCGGCCUCAGAUCAUCGUCAUCGGUUCCGGCGCGCGGGUGGGGGUCCGGGUUUUUUCCAAACAAUCCGUCAAGUAGGGGAGCAUUCGCAUCCGCGAUGAAGUCGUGUCGUGAGACAUGGUGGAGCGUUGCGAAGGGAGAAUGUUGGCAUAAGUAGCAUAAAGAGGGGUGAGAACCCCCUCCAUCGUAAACCCAAGGUUUCCUGGGCAACGCAAAUCGACCCAGGGUUAGUCGGGAGCUAAGGUGAGGCCGAGAGGCGUAACCGAUGCACAGCUGGUUCAUAUUCCAGCACCCUGUUUUCACCGAUGUGGGGACGCUUUGAGAAUCUUCCCGCGUCCUAUGGCUAUGACGUUGGGCGCGCGCAGGUGGCUGAUUGGCAAAUCCGUCAGCGUAAUCCAGUGCGUGAUCGCAAGCCGGCCGCAAGGCUGGCAAGGGGAGCGAAACUUGGAGCCAAGAAAAGCCGCUAGGGUUCAUGAAACACAGGCCCGUACCGGAAACCGACACAGGUGGGUGGGCGCGUAAUGUGCCAAGAUGUACGAGAGAACCCUCGUUAAGGAACUCGGCAAUUCAAUGGCCGUAACUUAGGGAUAAGGCCUGGUUGCCCCCGGGAGGGGGCGACCCGCAGCGAAAGACGCUAAGCGACUGUUUAUCAAAAACACAGGUUCGUGCUAAACCGUAAGGUGAUGUAUACGAGCUGAUGCCUGGCCAGUGUCCGAACGUUAAAGAAGGGGGUUAGCCGCAAGGCAAAGCCUUCGACUGAAGCGCGGAUGAACGCCGGCGAUAACUAUAGACACGAUUGUAGUUAUCUAAAAAAAUCUAGCUAUUUGCGGGAAACUCCGCCCAGACCAUCCGUACGUACAGGUAAAGCUGUUGUCACAAUCGGAUGGGUAACAUGGCCAAAUGCCAUUGGCGGACAAUCCGCAGGAAAGGCUUUCUAUGAAUAUUUCAGAUGCGUGGUUGAAAACGAUUCCUUCGAGAAUAGGAGAUUAUCUCGCAGGAUUUGCGGAUGGAGAAGGAAGCUUCAUUGUUUCCGUUCGUCAUCGAUCAGACCACGCCAUGGGAUGGCAAAUAGACAUGACAUUCAACGUGUCGCAAAAAGAACGGCACAUCCUUGCGUACUUUAAGCGGUAUCUCGGGUGCGGACGGUUUCAACAGCGACCCGACGGCGUCUUCUAUUAUGUCGUUUCAAACCAACGGUCCGUUUUAGAGCGGGUGAUCCCGUUUUUUGAGCGGUUCCCGUUCCUCUCACAAAGAAAGCAAUCCAAUUUCGCCAUUUUCAAAAAAAUAGCGUCGAUUGUUUCUAAAAAAGAACACCUUACACCUCAAGGACUUGAACAGAUCAUGCGUCUGCGCGAGCGCUUGAAUGAAGGGAGAGGAAGAACCAGAAAAUAUUCUUUGCAUGAUUACAAAGAAUCAUGCGAGAAAGAAUCCUCAGAGACUAUACGCUAGAAGCCAAAACUUGUUUGGUUAAGAUAGAGUCCGAUCUCAUGUGAAAACGUGAGCCCCGUAUUGCUCAACCGGGGAUUCGUAAAACGAAUUAACAGCAUAAAUCGUCCUAAGGUAGCGAAAUUCCUUGUCGGGUGAGUUCCGACCUGCACGAAUGGCAUAACGACUUAGCGACUCUCUCAACGAGGGACUCGGCGAAAUUGCAAGAUGAGUGAAGAUGCUCAUUAUCCGUGGUUAGACGAAAAGACCCCGUGAAGCUUUACUACAACUUGUUCUUGAAUUCAUGCUUCGCAUGUUGAGCGUAGGUGGGAGCUUCGGCGCCAAUGAGACACCACCCUUGCGCUGUGUGAAUUCUAACCAGAUACCGUGAAUCCGGUGUCAGGGACAGGAACUGGUGGGUAGUUUACCUGGGGCGGGUGCCUCCUAAAAGGUAACGGAGGCGUUUACAAAGGUCGGCUUGGAGCGGAUGGAAAUCGCUCUGGACGUGCAAACGCAAAAGCCGGCUUUACUGCAAGACUUACAAGUCGCGCAGUCGCGAAAGCGGAAGUUAGUGAUCCGACCGUACGAAGUAGGACGGCGGAAGCUCAUCGGAUAAAAGCUACUCCGGGGAUAACAGGCUGAUCCCUCCCAAGAGUCCACAUCGACGGAGGGGUUUGGCACCUCGAUGUCGGCUCAUCGCAUCCUGGGGCUGGCGAAGGUCCCAAUGGUUUGGCUGUUCGCCAAUUAAAGCGGUACGCGAGCUGGGUUCAGAACGUCGUGAGACAGUUCGGUCUCCUAUCUACUACACACGUCGAAUAUUGCGAGGACUCAUCCCUAGUAC